AUUGAACGCUGGCGGCAUGCCUUACACAUGCAAGUCGAACGGCAGCACGGGAGCAAUCCCGGUGGCGUGUGGCGAACGGGUGAGUAAAGUAUCGGAACGUGCCCAGUCGUGGGGGAUAACGUAGCGAAAGUUACGCUAAUACCGCAUACGAUCUAUGGAUGAAAGCGGGGGAUCGCAAGACCUCGCGCGAUUGGAGCGGCCGAUAUCAGAUUAGGUAGUUGGUGGGGUAAAGGCUCGCCAAGCCGACGAUCUGUAGCUGGUCAGAGAGGACGACCAGCCACGCUGGGACUGAGACACGGCCCAGACUACUACUGGAGGCAGCAGUGGGGAAUUUUGGACAAUGGGCGAAAGCCUGAUCCAGCCAUGCCGCGUGCAGGAUGAAGGCCUUCGGGUUGUAAACUGCUUUUGUACGGAACGAAAAGGUUUGGCCUAAUAAGCUGAGCUCAUGACGGUACCGUAAGAAUAAGCACCGGCUAACUACGUGCCAGCCGCCGCCGUAA
RNAcentral lists this ribosomal RNA (500 nucleotides) under uncultured bacterium. Its description in RNAcentral is "partial 16S ribosomal RNA". It matches the Rfam family "Bacterial small subunit ribosomal RNA", at positions 30 to 523 of the family's 1533-position model. The record is from RNAcentral.